UACGUAGGGACCGAGCGUUGUCCGGAAUCAUUGGGCGUAAAGAGCGUGUAGGCGGCCUUUUAAGUCCUGCGUGAAAUCCUGCGGCUCAACCGCAGACGGUCGUGGGAAACUGGAAGGCUAGAGUGCGGGAGAGGAGAGUGGAAUUCCCGGUGUAGCGGUGAAAUGCGCAGAUAUCGGGAAGAACACCCGUGGCGAAGGCGGCUCUCUGGACCGCAACUGACGCUGAGACGCGAAAGCGUGGGGAGCAAACAGG
RNAcentral lists this ribosomal RNA (253 nucleotides) under uncultured bacterium. RNAcentral describes it as "partial 16S ribosomal RNA". It matches the Rfam family "Bacterial small subunit ribosomal RNA", at positions 524 to 776 of the family's 1533-position model. The record is from RNAcentral.